This 406-nucleotide ribosomal RNA is filed under the name uncultured bacterium. RNAcentral describes it as "partial 16S ribosomal RNA". It matches the Rfam family "Bacterial small subunit ribosomal RNA", at positions 30 to 526 of the family's 1533-position model. The record is from RNAcentral.
AUUGAACGCUGGCGGCAGGCCUAACACAUGCAAGUCGAACGAGUGGCGGACGGGUGAGUAAUGUCUGGGAAACUGCCUGACGGAGGGGGCUAACUACUGGAAACGGUAGCUAAUACCGCAUACCAUCGGAUGUGCCCAGAUGGGAUUAGCUAGUGGGUGGGGUAACGGCUCACCUAGGCGACGAUCCCUAGCUGGUCUGAGAGGAGGACCAGCCACACUGGAACUGAGACACGGUCCAGACUCCUACGGGAGGCAGCAGUGGGGAAUAUUGCGCAAUGGACGCAAGCCUGAUGCAGCCAUGCCGCGUGUGUGAAGAAGGCCUUCGGGUUGUAAAGCACUUUCAGCGGGGAGGCGUUACCCGCAGAAGAAGCACCGGCUAACUCCGUGCCAGCAGCCGCGGUAAUAC